UUUACAGAUUUGCCAUUUACUGGAUUCCUUGUGAAUAACCAAGGAUAUUCUUUGCAAGUUCAGACAUGAUACAAGCACACAUGCACAGGAAAACCAAAGUCCACCGGUUACUUUUUGAUCCUUUCCAUUUUUUGUCCUUUCUGAAGAAGCUGGAAUCCGUGUGAGUCUCAGACUUUAUCCAGAAAUGAGUUCAUACACUGUGAGAGGACUCUUCACAAUCCUCAGCUCCUGAAUGUCUGAUGCUUCACAGCAUUUCUUGCAUAAUUCAUAUUAAAAGCAGAGUUACCAGCAGGGCAGUCAAGUGAGAAGCAUAUAAUGGCCUGUGAUCAUCAGACACAGCUUCCAGGGAACGGAAGCCAUAGGUUCAGCUUCUUGUAGUAGUAGCCAGAGGGAGCUGUUUGGAGACUUCUCCCAGGAGCUGACUUAGCGUAUCCUUCUUUUUGCCACACAGGACACCAAAGGGCACCCCUUCUGUCCCGUCUUCCAAAGGUAUACAGCAGCAAAUAGCAGCAAGUUUCGGUCAGCAUGUUGGCUGUUUGACAUGAGUAGCCAUGGUCUGAGAGUCAGCAGCAAGAAAUAGAUUAUGCCAGAGCAAAUCUCUCCUUGUGUCCCAGAAGCCCAAGCCAUCCUUCAACAGUUGCUGCUGAAGGCUACCCUUUACUUAAAGGAUAGCAUGAGAAGCACAUAUUGCACAGCAAAACCUAUGUUCAUCCUUUUAUGUCUCCCCACCCCUUAAAGAACAUACAAUAUAUAUUCAGCGUACCAUCAACCCACUGCUGUAGGUGGAGCCCUGUGAGCAUAACACAGUUGACCAUGGAUACAAAGGCCAGCAAAUAAAUGAUUCUAUAAGCGUCAGACAUUUCAGUCCAGGACAUUAGAGAUUCAUUGACUACAUUGCGGGAAGAGCUGUUAAAUAAAACCAAUUUCAGUAGUCUCAGCCUUCCAGAGUCACUUUGAGUACCAUGUAUAUCAGAGACUCAUCUAGCAUCUUGAAAAAUAGCUUUUUCUUUAAUUGGUUAUAAUGUCCCUGUAUAUCAAAUACAGUUGCCAGAGCAUUGGGUGAAUGACAAAAAAGAGUAAAAACAGCUUACAGAAGUGACAUGUUCUUUUAUGGUUACAUCUGGGGGUACACGAGAGAGUCUCCUGACAUGCCAGUAACCUUAUUCACAGUCUGGAAAGUUCCACAGAGGAAGAAUGUAUACUAUUAAGUACAGCAGCCCUGUAAACCAGGAGACAUCAAUUAUUGCUUUGCAAAUGAUGUGCUGCGCUUCCUCGGGCAAAUCACUUUUAGGUGCUUUUUCCCCUCAUAUUCCCUCCAUCUACCUUGUAUAAAUCAGCCUCCAUCUCUUCUGAGCAGGGGAAAGUCUCCUUCCAUGGUCUAAGGACACUGACUGUGCAAAUUCAGAAUGAGCCUGUAAGUUCCACCUUACAUGCAUAACAAAUAAUUACAAACCAUAGCAUCUUACCCCACUGCAUUACUUGUCUGGGUAGUCCAUGGAGUCAAUAUGCACCAUAACUAAACUCACCAUUUGGAAGCGGGGGAAGCUCCGAUCUUCAGCGCCAAGAGC
This 1568-nucleotide long non-coding RNA is filed under the name Strigops habroptila (Kakapo). Its description in RNAcentral is "lncRNA (ENSSHBG00005016584.1)". The record is from RNAcentral. Lineage: Eukaryota; Metazoa; Chordata; Aves; Psittaciformes; Psittacidae.